GAUGCACAUUGUUAGAGCUUGGAGCUGAGGCUGCUGGCUAAUGAACUCACAAGUAUAGGUGGUGUGCUAUGUGAGGGGCAAGUUUUUCUCUACCACCACGAGGGUGGCUGGCCCAAUGAGUGGAGUUUGAUAAUAAUACUUGCUACAAAA
Molecule: small nucleolar RNA, 150 nt
Organism: Bison bison bison
Lineage: Eukaryota; Metazoa; Chordata; Mammalia; Artiodactyla; Bovidae
Source: Ensembl